AGCAGUAGCCGCGGUAAAACGUAGGGGGCAAGCGUUAUCCGGAAUUACUGGGUGUAAAGGGCUCGCAGGCGGUUUCUUAAGUCUGAUGUGAAAGCCCCCGGCUCAACCGGGGAGGGUCAUUGGAAACUGGGAAACUUGAGUGCAGAAGAGGAGAGUGGAAUUCCACGUGUAGCGGUGAAAUGCGUAGAGAUGUGGAGGAACACCAGUGGCGAAGGCGACUCUCUGGUCUGUAACUGACGCUGAGGAGCGAAAGCGUGGGGAGCGAACAGGAUUAGAUACCCCUGUAGUCCCUGUCUCUUAUAC
This 303-nucleotide ribosomal RNA is filed under the name uncultured bacterium. Its description in RNAcentral is "partial 16S ribosomal RNA". It matches the Rfam family "Bacterial small subunit ribosomal RNA", at positions 507 to 807 of the family's 1533-position model. The record is from RNAcentral.